RNAcentral lists this ribosomal RNA (497 nucleotides) under uncultured bacterium. Its description in RNAcentral is "partial 16S ribosomal RNA". It matches the Rfam family "Bacterial small subunit ribosomal RNA", at positions 28 to 507 of the family's 1533-position model. The record is from RNAcentral.
GAUGAACGCUGGCGGCGUGCCUAAUACAUGCAAGUCGAGCGAACAGACGAGGAGCUUGCUCCUCUGACGUUAGCGGCGGACGGGUGAGUAUCACGUGGAUAACCUACCUAUAAGACUGGGAUAACUUCGGGAAACCGGAGCUAAUACCGGAUAAUAUAUUGAACCGCAUGGUUCAAUAGUGAAAGACGGUUUUGCUGUCACUUAUAGAUGGAUCCGCGCCGCAUUAGCUAGUUGGUAAGGUAACGGCUUACCAAGGCAACGAUGCGUAGCCGACCUGAGAGGGUGAUCGGCCACACUGGAACUGAGACACGGUCCAGACUCCUACGGGAGGCAGCAGUAGGGAAUCUUCCGCAAUGGGCGAAAGCCUGACGGAGCAACGCCGCGUGAGUGAUGAAGGUCUUCGGAUCGUAAAACUCUGUUAUUAGGGAAGAACAAAUGUGUAAGUAACUAUGCACGUCUUGACGGUACCUAAUCAGAAAGCCACGGCUAACUACGUG